GUCCUACGGGAUGCAUCAUUAUUUACUCUUCCACCCUUUUCUCCAGCCUGAUGGAGCAACGCCGCGUGGGUGAAGAAGGUCUUCGGAUCGUAAAACCCUGUUGUUAGAGAAGAAAGUGCGUGAGAGUAACUGUUCACGUUUCGACGGUAUCUAACCAGAAAGCCACGGCUAACUACGUGCCAGCAGCCGCGGUAAUACGUAGGUGGCAAGCGUUAUCCGGAUUUAUUGGGCGUAAAGGGAACGCAGGCGGUCUUUUAAGUCUGAUGUGAAAGCCUUCGGCUUAACCGGAGUAGUGCAUUGGAAAC
RNAcentral lists this ribosomal RNA (305 nucleotides) under uncultured bacterium. RNAcentral describes it as "bacterial SSU rRNA". It matches the Rfam family "Bacterial small subunit ribosomal RNA", at positions 335 to 633 of the family's 1533-position model. The record is from RNAcentral.